GACGAACGCUGGCGGCGUGCUUAACACAUGCAAGUCGAACGGAAAGGCCCUGCUUUUGUGGGGUGCUCGAGUGGCGAACGGGUGAGUAACACGUGAGUAACCUGCCCUUGACUUUGGGAUAACUUCAGGAAACUGGGGCUAAUACCGGAUAGGAGCUCCUGCUGCGUGGUGGGGGUUGGAAAGUUUCGGCGGUUGGGGAUGGACUCGCGGCUUAUCAGCUUGUUGGUGGGGUAGUGGCUUACCAAGGCUUUGACGGGUAGCCGGCCUGGGAGGGUGACCGGCCACAUUGGGACUGAGAUACGGCCCAGACUCCUACGGGAGGCAGCAGUGGGGAAUAUUGCACAAUGGGCGGAAGCCUGAUGCAGCAACGCCGCGUGCGGGAUGACGGCCUUCGGGUUGUAAACCGCUUGCGCCUGUGACGAAGCGUGAGUGACGGUAAUGGGUAAAGAAGCACCGGCUAACUACGUGCCAGCAGCCGCGGUGAUACGUAGGGUGCGAGCGUUGUCCGGAUUUAUUGGGCGUAAAGGGCUCGUAGGUGGUUGAUCGCGUCGGAAGUGUAAUCUUGGGGCUUAACCCUGAGCGUGCUUUCGAUACGGGUUGACUUGAGGAAGGUAGGGGAGAAUGGAAUUCCUGGUGGAGCGGUGGAAUGCGCAGAUAUCAGGAGGAACACCAGUGGCGAAGGCGGUUCUCUGGGCCUUUCCUGACGCUGAGGAGCGAAAGCGUGGGGAGCGAACAGGCUUAGAUACCCUGGUAGUCCACGCUGUAAACGGUGGGUACUAGGUGUGGGGUCCAUUCCACGGGUUCCGUGCCGUAGCUAACGCUUUAAGUACCCCGCCUGGGGAGUACGGCCGCAAGGCUAAAACUCAAAGGAAUUGACGGGGCCCCGCACAAGCGGCGGAGCAUGCGGAUUAAUUCGAUGCAACGCGUAGAACCUUACCUGGGUUUGACAUGGAUCGGGAGUGCUCAGAGAUGGGUGUGCCUCUUUUGGGGUCGGUUCACAGGUGGUGCAUGGCUGUCGUCAGCUCGUGUCGUGAGAUGUUGGGUUAAGUCCCGCAACGAGCGCAACCCUUGUUCACUGUUGCCAGCACGUUAUGGUGGGGACUCAGUGGAGACCGCCGGGGUCAACUCGGAGGAAGGUGGGGAUGACGUCAAGUCAUCAUGCCCCUUAUGUCCAGGGCUUCACGCAUGCUACAAUGGCUGGUACAGAGAGUGGCGAGCCUGUGAGGGUGAGCGAAUCUCGGAAAGCCGGUCUCAGUUCGGAUUGGGGUCUGCAACUCGACCUCAUGAAGUCGGAGUCGCUAGUAAUCGCAGAUCAGCAACGCUGCGGUGAAUACGUUCCCGGGGCU
RNAcentral lists this ribosomal RNA (1346 nucleotides) under uncultured bacterium. Its description in RNAcentral is "partial 16S ribosomal RNA". It matches the Rfam family "Bacterial small subunit ribosomal RNA", at positions 28 to 1381 of the family's 1533-position model. The record is from RNAcentral.